CCUACGGGUGGCUGCAGUAGGGAAUCUUCCACAAUGGACGAAAGUCUGAUGGAGCAACGCCGCGCGUGUGAUGAAGGGUUUCGGCUCGUAAAACACUGUUGUAAGAGAAGAAUGACAUUGAGAGUAACUGUUCAGUGUGUGACGGUAACUUACCAGAAAGGAACGGCUAAAUACGUGCCAGCAGCCGCGGUAAUACGUAUGGUCCAAGCGUUAUCCGGAUUUAUUGGGCGUAAAGCGAGGUCAGACGGUUAUGUAAGUUCUAAGGGAAAGCCCACAGCUUAACUGUUGAAGUGCUUUGGAAACUGGAUAACUUGAGUGCAGUAGAGGAGAGUGGAAUUCCAUGUGUAGCGGUGAAAUGCGUAGAUAUAUGGAAGAACACCAGUGGCGAAGGCGGCUCUCUGGACUGUAACUGACGUUGAGGCUCGAAAGUGUGGGUAGCAAACAGGAUUAGAUACCCUAGUAGUC
RNAcentral lists this ribosomal RNA (465 nucleotides) under uncultured Weissella sp. RNAcentral describes it as "bacterial SSU rRNA". It matches the Rfam family "Bacterial small subunit ribosomal RNA", at positions 338 to 795 of the family's 1533-position model. Lineage: Bacteria; Bacillati; Bacillota; Bacilli; Lactobacillales; Lactobacillaceae. The record is from RNAcentral.